RNAcentral lists this long non-coding RNA (406 nucleotides) under Lactuca sativa (garden lettuce). Its description in RNAcentral is "long non-coding RNA (LSAT_LNC003463)". The record is from RNAcentral. Lineage: Eukaryota; Viridiplantae; Streptophyta; Magnoliopsida; Asterales; Asteraceae.
AAAAUCCCAUAUUUUCUUAUGUAAAGUAGUUAAGUUAUCUUUCGUUAUAGUUCUGUUACAGAUAUAAGUUAACCCCAGGAAAAUCCCAUAUUUUCCUAAUUGUAAGAUUUAUUGGAUAACACAUAGUAUAGUUUAAUUCACAAAACUAUAAUUUAGACGAACUGUAAAUAGAAAGUAUUUUGAAAACCUUGGGACUACAUCCCGAACCAGUUAUAAGAUANGGAAAACCUUGACUACAUCCCGAACCAAUUAGUAUUUGAAAACCUUGGGACUACAUCCCGAACCAAUUAGUAUUUGAAAACCUUGGGACUACAUCCCGAACCAAUUAGUAUUUGAAAACCUUGGGACUACAUCCCGAACCAAUUAGUAUUUGAAAACCUUGGGACUACAUCCCGAACCAAUUAUA